GACUACUGCGCCCCGUCAGAGGACUCCAAUUUUGAUACGGUUCUUGACUCCAGAGCUGGACAGUCUCAGGAGUAUUUGAGGGUCAAGAGGGAACUUGUCGUAAGAGCCGACUCACAUGCAGUAGCGCAUCCCCCUGCGACGGCUGCCAACCUUGAGCCUCCUCCCAGGCGAUGCCCCCUGCAGCUCAUCCCGGUCACGCCGCUCAUCCCAUCCUACCUAUCCUGCCCAUGCGUCACCUCCCCACAGUGCCCAGUCGACAGACAUUAGCAUACCGCUGGCCCCCAACUCCGCCACUGCCUCCAACCACCAGUAGUAGCUGCAGGCUAAGAUCCUCAGCCUGUUCAACAGCAGUGCCCGGGCAUCAGCCUCCGCAGCCAGCCCUGCCAUGGCCCCCCAGUCCCAGGCCUACAGCUCCACCAUGGGCAUCCAGUCCACGGGCCUCCCUAUGUCCUCAGACUCCCCUGUCCCCAAAAUGGCACCCUCACCAUCCCAAGCCCCCAACAUUAUGGGUGCCCCCCAGCGCCCCCUAUGGCUAUGGGUCGCCCACAGGCCGCAUGGCUGCCCCUCGAG
Long non-coding RNA from Coregonus clupeaformis (lake whitefish), 570 nucleotides. RefSeq lists it as uncharacterized. Lineage: Eukaryota; Metazoa; Chordata; Actinopteri; Salmoniformes; Salmonidae. The transcript is spliced from 3 exons. The record is from RefSeq and is a predicted model, not a curated record.